RNAcentral lists this long non-coding RNA (1817 nucleotides) under Equus caballus (horse). RNAcentral's name for it is "lncRNA (ENSECAG00000045389.1)". The record is from RNAcentral. Lineage: Eukaryota; Metazoa; Chordata; Mammalia; Perissodactyla; Equidae.
ACCAGCUAACAUUUGCUGCACGAUCUAUUCCACAGCUCCUCGAACAUUCCUGUACGAAGUACUUGGGCCCAGAGCCGGGCAGAGGAGGGUAGUUCUCUCCCAGCUAUGGUUGAGGAGCCCAGUCCUGAUACGGCAGCACCAUGUUCAGGACUGACACCCGCUGAUCCUCUGCCCCCAUGCCUCUCAAUUCUGGUUCCAAACCAGUUGCCCCAUGUCUAAACAGAGUUUUAAUAUUGCCCACCUGCUUGACUUUCUACCUGGCUUGGGUCUCAGGGUCUUUCCUGAACGAGUCUCUGAACUUGCCUUGGCCAAGUCCAGCCCCUUUUACAAGCUCAUCACCAGCUCCAGAGGAGGCCGCGCCAACUCCAGGCCACAAGGCUCCUGUGGUGUGGAAGAGAGAAUCCAACUCACUGAGUGCCUUCUUCCUUCCAGAGGACCAGCAAAUGACCCACAGGUCAUGAGGAAGAGAGAAUAUUCUCAGUCCAGGGCAGGCAAAGACGUGGUGGGAGCUGGUGAAGUCAGACAUUGUGCCUCGAGAAGACUCUCUCUAGGAGCUGUAGACGUGAGCCUAGAAUGCAUAGCUUGAUAAUCAAAGAUGGUGAGACAUUUCAGCAAAAGAGGCCAUGUGCUCAGGGGUCAAGAGUAUCGGACUGGAAUAAGCCUCAGAAGAGCCUGCCUCUGCCCCAUAUGGGCCACGUGACCACGGAGAACUCACUCUCCCUGGCGAGGCCUACUGAGGGCCUUGGUCCUUCUUCUCUGUGACAUGGAUAUGAACUCGUACUGAGCUCACAGAGCUGUUCAGGGAAUUAAAUGAGUCCAUGCCUCUGAAUGGCUGAGCACAAUGCCUGGCGCCGCAGAAGCCUUUGGUAGGUGUAGUUCAUGUGUUAUUUGCUUAUCAGACCAUUCACGAAAAACCAGGACUGCUGAGUACCAGCCACCUGCUCCAAUCAAGACCUUUCCCAGCUGGACCCAGGAAAGUAUCCAGUGAGUGGCAAAGCCAUUUCCGGCCUCCUAAGGGAACGAGGAGUCAACCAGAACCGGUCAAUCUUUUUAAAGAAUAAGCUGGAAAAGACCAAAAAUUAAGGCGAGGCUACAGCAGCUGUUGUGUAGCAACAGGACACAGUGUUUGCUUUCUCUAAACGAGAGCUCAGUCUUCUGAUGCCAGCUGACCCUGUGCUUGCUUCCUAAGUCUUGGAAGAACCUACAGCAGAAGAACUAAGGGGACAGACAGAAAGGAGGAACCAGCAAGGACACUAAGAGAGGAAGAAAAGCAAGAGUGGGGCAUUUGGGAAGCCAAGUGAAGAAGAUGCAUCCAGAAAAUGGGAAUAAUCAACUGCGCCAAAUCCUUUGGAGAAGAAUCAGUGAUGGGAACAUAGAAAUUUAAGCCUCUUCCCCCUAAAAAAAUUAAGACUAGGAAAAUAAAUGAUGCGCGAGAAAAGAAAUGCAAUUCUAGUAUGCUCUAGGGUUCAGCUCUAAAUAAUAUUUCCAAAGUCAUAGUAAUGUAACAGUGGACUAUUGAUCUAACCAAAAACUCUACGGAGCUCUCCUGGGAGGAUGGUGGCAAGGGAAGCACGAUGUGGCGGGAAGGAGCAGAGGGGUGUGUGUAACAGAGCAAUGUCGCCAUCCCCAGCAGAAAGUCACUGCGUAGUAGCUAGAGCUUAAAAUAAUAUCACCGGCCUUGGGGUGAGGAGAAUGGAAGGGUGACUUAGGGACAGCUUUCUUCCCGUAAUAAGCCUUAUGGAACUAUUUGCUUUCCAAAUUAUGUAUAUGUAUAACAUUAAUAAAAAUUAAAAUGAAAACAUUAAGGAGGGGGCAAU